Molecule: long non-coding RNA, 171 nt
Organism: Austrofundulus limnaeus
Lineage: Eukaryota; Metazoa; Chordata; Actinopteri; Cyprinodontiformes; Rivulidae
Exons: 3
Source: RefSeq, a predicted model, not a curated record
CGACGCCAUCUUGGAUGAAAAGUGAUGUCUGUGGGGAUGGAGGAACUGCUGCWAACUCACACCGCGCCACCUAAAGGUUCCAGUAGAGGCUCCAGCCUAGAGGAAUGCCACUUCACAUCCAGCCUCCAAAUUUCAGAAACCUCCGGGGCGCCAAAAACAGCUAUAUGGACA